This 465-nucleotide ribosomal RNA is filed under the name uncultured bacterium. Its description in RNAcentral is "bacterial SSU rRNA". It matches the Rfam family "Bacterial small subunit ribosomal RNA", at positions 29 to 524 of the family's 1533-position model. The record is from RNAcentral.
AACGAACGCUGGCGGCAGGCCUAACACAUGCAAGUCGAACGCCGUAGCAAUACGGAGUGGCAGACGGGUGAGUAACGCGUGGGAACAUACCCCUCGGUUCGGAAUAACUUAGGGAAACUUGAGCUAAUACCGGAUACGUCCGAGGUUUUAACCGGCCUCGGAGAAAGAUUUAUCGCCGGAGGAUUGGCCCGCGUCUGAUUAGCUUGUUGGUGAGGUAAUGGCUCACCAAGGCGACGAUCAGAGCUGGUCUGAGAGGAUGAUCAGCCACAUUGGGACUGAGACACGGCCCAAACUCCUACGGGAGGCAGCAGUGGGGAAUAUUGGACAAUGGGCGAAAGCCUGAUCCAGCCAUGCCGCGUGAGUGAUGAAGGCCUUAGGGUUGUAAAGCUCUUUUACCCGGGAAGAUAAUGACGGUACCGGAGAAUAAGCCCCGGCUAACUUCGUGCCAGCAGCCGCCGCGGUAAG